Molecule: long non-coding RNA, 237 nt
Filed under: Trifolium pratense (red clover)
Lineage: Eukaryota; Viridiplantae; Streptophyta; Magnoliopsida; Fabales; Fabaceae
Description: long non-coding RNA (TPRA_LNC013730)
Source: RNAcentral
AGGAUUUAUAUAUAUUUUUUUUAUUUAAAAAAGACCUACAAUAGCGCUUUUUCUAAAAAGUGUUAUUAAAACAUACAGCAAAAAAAUAGGACAUACAAUAGCACUUUUGUGUACAAGCGCUAUUAAAGAUAGGACAUACAAUAACACUUUUAAAAGUGCUAUAGUAGGCAUAGACUUACAAUAGCACCAGCUUCUAUAGCACUUUAAAGUGCUAUUAAAGCCAAAAAAAAGUGCUAU